RNAcentral lists this ribosomal RNA (443 nucleotides) under uncultured bacterium. RNAcentral's name for it is "bacterial SSU rRNA". It matches the Rfam family "Bacterial small subunit ribosomal RNA", at positions 35 to 524 of the family's 1533-position model. The record is from RNAcentral.
GCUGGCGGCUGCCUACACAUGCAAGUCGAACGAGAUCCUUCGGGGUCUAGUGGCGCACGGGUGCGUAACGCGUGGGAAUCUGCCCUUAGGUACGGAAUAACUCAGGGAAACUUGUGCUAAUACCGUAUGAUGUCUUCGGACCAAAGAUUUAUCGCCUAGGGAUGAGCCCGCGUAGGAUUAGCUAGUUGGUGGGGUAAAGGCCUACCAAGGCUACGAUCCUUAGCUGGUCUGAGAGGAUGAUCAGCCACACUGGGACUGAGACACGGCCCAGACUCCUACGGGAGGCAGCAGUGGGGAAUAUUGGACAAUGGGCGAAAGCCUGAUCCAGCAAUGCCGCGUGAGUGAAGAAGGCCUUCGGGUUGUAAAGCUCUUUUACCCGGGAAGAUAAUGACUGUACCGGGAGAAUAAGCCCCGGCUAACUCCGUGCCAGCAGCCGCGGUAAU